This 445-nucleotide ribosomal RNA is filed under the name uncultured soil bacterium. RNAcentral describes it as "bacterial SSU rRNA". It matches the Rfam family "Bacterial small subunit ribosomal RNA", at positions 26 to 518 of the family's 1533-position model. The record is from RNAcentral.
AGAACGAACGCUGGCGGCAUGCCUAAUACAUGCAAGUCGAACGAACUCUUCGGAGUUAGUGGCGCACGGGUGCGUAACGCGUGGGAAUCUGCCCUUGGGUUCGGAAUAACAGUUGGAAACGACUGCUAAUACCGGAUGAUGACGAAAGUCCAAAGAUUUAUCGCCCAGGGAUGAGCCCGCGUCUGAUUAGCUAGUUGGUGAGGUAAAGGCUCACCAAGGCUACGAUCAGUAGCUGGUCUGAGAGGAUGACCAGCCACAUUGGGACUGAGACACGGCCCAAACUCCUACGGGAGGCAGCAGUGGGGAAUCUUGCGCAAUGGGCGAAAGCCUGACGCAGCCAUGCCGCGUGAAUGAUGAAGGUCUUAGGAUUGUAAAAUUCUUUCAGUAGGACGAUAAUGACGGUACCUACAGAAGAAGCCCCGGCUAACUUCGUGCCAGCAGCCGC